RNAcentral lists this ribosomal RNA (450 nucleotides) under uncultured bacterium. Its description in RNAcentral is "partial 16S ribosomal RNA". It matches the Rfam family "Bacterial small subunit ribosomal RNA", at positions 354 to 796 of the family's 1533-position model. The record is from RNAcentral.
GUGGGGAAUUUUGGACAAUGGGCGCAAGCCUGAUCCAGCAAUGCCGCGUGCAGGAAGAAGGCCUUCGGGUUGUAAACUGCUUUUGUACGGAACGAAACGGUCCUGGUUAAUACCUGGGGCUAAUGACGGUACCGUAAGAAUAAGCACCGGCUAACUACGUGCCAGCAGCCGCGGUAAUACGUAGGGUGCGAGCGUUAAUCGGAAUUACUGGGCGUAAAGCGUGCGCAGGCGGUGCUGUAAGACAGGCGUGAAAUCCCCGGGCUAAACCUGGGAAUUGCGCUUGUGACUGCAGUGCUGGAGUACGGCAGAGGGGGAUGGAAUUCCGCGUGUAGCAGUGAAAUGCGUAGAUAUGCGGAGGAACACCGAUGGCGAAGGCAGUCCCCUGGGCCUGUACUGACGCUCAUGCACGAAAGCGUGGGGAGCAAACAGGAUUAGAUACCCGAGUAGUCC